Molecule: ribosomal RNA, 484 nt
Filed under: Enterobacter hormaechei
Lineage: Bacteria; Pseudomonadati; Pseudomonadota; Gammaproteobacteria; Enterobacterales; Enterobacteriaceae
Description: bacterial SSU rRNA
Rfam family: Bacterial small subunit ribosomal RNA
Source: RNAcentral
AUUGAACGCUUGGCGGCAGGCCUAACACAUGCAAGUCGAACGGUAACAGGAAGCAGCUUGCUGCUUUGCUGACGAGUGGCGGACGGGUGAGUAAUGUCUGGGAAACUGCCUGAUGGAGGGGGAUAACUACUGGAAACGGUAGCUAAUACCGCAUAACGUCGCAAGACCAAAGAGGGGGACCUUCGGGCCUCUUGCCAUCGGAUGUGCCCAGAUGGGAUUAGCUAGUAGGUGGGGUAACGGCUCACCUAGGCGACGAUCCCUAGCUGGUCUGAGAGGAUGACCAGCCACACUGGAACUGAGACACGGUCCAGACUCCUACGGGAGGCAGCAGUGGGGAAUAUUGCACAAUGGGCGCAAGCCUGAUGCAGCCAUGCCGCGUGUAUGAAGAAGGCCUUCGGGUUGUAAAGUACUUUGCAGCGGGGAGGAAGGCGAUAAGGUUAAUAACCUUGUCGAUUGACGUUACCCGCCGAAGAAGCACCGCUAA